GCAAUACCAAAAACACUUUACUGGCUUAGAACUGGGACCUGGUUUUUGGUAGUAAUUCUAUAUAUAACGUUUAUUGGACCCGAAACCGAUCGAGCUAGCCGUGGGCAGGAAUGGUAUUUACCAGGACCGUACCCGUGUCUGUUGCAAGAGACUGGGAUGACCUUCGGCUAGGGGUGAAAGGCCAAUCAAGUUCGGUAGAUAGCUGGUUUUCUGCGAAAUCUAUUCAGGUAAAGAGUGUGUGUUAAGACCAUAUUUAAUAUAA
This 262-nucleotide ribosomal RNA is filed under the name Yamagishiella unicocca. RNAcentral's name for it is "large subunit ribosomal RNA". It matches the Rfam family "Bacterial large subunit ribosomal RNA", at positions 660 to 907 of the family's 2925-position model. The record is from RNAcentral. Lineage: Eukaryota; Viridiplantae; Chlorophyta; Chlorophyceae; Chlamydomonadales; Volvocaceae.